Molecule: ribosomal RNA, 1376 nt
Filed under: Remersonia thermophila
Lineage: Eukaryota; Fungi; Ascomycota; Sordariomycetes; Sordariales; Chaetomiaceae
Description: LSU rRNA
Rfam family: Eukaryotic large subunit ribosomal RNA
Source: RNAcentral
AAGCAUAUCAAUAAGCGGAGGAAAAGAAACCAACAGGGAUUGCCCUAGUAACGGCGAGUGAAGCGGCAACAGCUCAAAUUUGAAAUCUGGCUUCGGCCCGAGUUGUAAUUUGCAGAGGAAGCUUUGGGCGCGGCGCCGUCUGAGUCCCCUGGAACGGGGCGCCRAAGAGGGUGAGAGCCCCGUAGAGACGGAUGCCUAGCCUGUGUAAAGCUCCUUCGACGAGUCGAGUAGUUUGGGAAUGCUGCUCAAAAUGGGAGGUAAAUUUCUUCUAAAGCUAAAUACCGGCCAGAGACCGAUAGCGCACAAGUAGAGUGAUCGAAAGAUGAAAAGCACUUUGAAAAGAGGGUUAAAUAGCACGUGAAAUUGUUGAAAGGGAAGCGCUUGUGACCAGACUUGCGCCGGGCUGAUCAUCCGGUGUUCUCACCGGUGCACUCUGCCCGGCUCAGGCCAGCAUCGGUUCUCGCGGGGGGAUAAAGGUCCUGGGAAUGUGGCUCCUCCGGGAGUGUUAUAGCCCGGGGCGUAAUACCCUCGCGGGGACCGAGGUUCGCGCUCUGCAAGGAUGCUGGCGUAAUGGUCAUCAGCGACCCGUCUUGAAACACGGACCAAGGAGUCAAGGUUUUGCGCGAGUGUUUGGGUGUAAAACCCGCACGCGUAAUGAAAGUGAACGUAGGUGAGAGCUUCGGCGCAUCAUCGACCGAUCCUGAUGUUCUCGGAUGGAUUUGAGUAAGAGCGUUAAGCCUUGGACCCGAAAGAUGGUGAACUAUGCUUGGAUAGGGUGAAGCCAGAGGAAACUCUGGUGGAGGCUCGCAGCGGUUCUGACGUGCAAAUCGAUCGUCAAAUCUGAGCAUGGGGGCGAAAGACUAAUCGAACCAUCUAGUAGCUGGUUACCGCCGAAGUUUCCCUCAGGAUAGCAGUGUUGAUCUUCAGUUUUAUGAGGUAAAGCGAAUGAUUAGGGACCCGGGGGCGAUUUUUAGCCUUCAUCCAUUCUCAAACUUUAAAUAUGUAAGAAGCCCUUGUUACUUAGCUGAACGUGGGCAUUCGAAUGUACCAACACUAGUGGGCCAUUUUUGGUAAGCAGAACUGGCGAUGCGGGAUGAACCGAACGCGGGGUUAAGGUGCCGGAGUGGACGCUCAUCAGACACCACAAAAGGCGUUAGUACAUCUUGACAGCAGGACGGUGGCCAUGGAAGUCGGAAUCCGCUAAGGACUGUGUAACAACUCACCUGCCGAAUGUACUAGCCCUGAAAAUGGAUGGCGCUCAAGCGUCCCACCCAUACCCCGCCCUCAGGGUAGAAACGAUGCCCUGAGGAGUAGGCGGCCGUGGAGGUCAGUGACGAAGCCUAGGGCGUGAGCCCGGGUCGAACGGCCUCUAGUGC